GUGGCGGAGCGUCGUUUGCGACGCCCAACACACAAAACAAGCGGUGAGUGCUUUGGGGUGGGGUGACUGCGUACCUUUUGUAUAAUGGGUCAGCGACUUAUAUUCUGUAGCAAGGUUAACCGUAUAGGGGAGCCGAAGGGAAACCGAGUCUUAACUGGGCGUUAAGUUGCAGGGUAUAGACCCGAAACCCGGUGAUCUAGCCAUGGGCAGGUUGAAGGUUGGGUAACACUAACUGGAGGACCGAACCGACUAAUGUUGAAAAAUUAGCGGAUGACUUGUGGCUGGGGGUGAAAGGCCAAUCAAACCGGGAGAUAGCUGGUUCUCCCCGAAAGCUAUUUAGGUAGCGCCUCGUGAACUCAUCUUCGGGGGUAGAGCACUGUUUCGGCUAGGGGGUCAUCCCGACUUACCAACCCGAUGCAAACUGCGAAUACCGAAGAAUGUUAUCACGGGAGACACACGGCGGGUGCUAACGUCCGUCGUGAAGAGGGAAACAACCCAGACCGCCAGCUAAGGUCCCAAAGUCACAGUUAAGUGGGAAACGAUGUGGGAAGGCUCAGACAGCCAGGAUGUUGGCUUAGAAGCAGCCAUCAUUUAAAGAAAGCGUAAUAGCUCACUGGUCGAGUCGGCCUGCGCGGAAGAUGUAACGGGGCUAAACUGUGCACCGAAGCUGCGGCAGCGACGCUUAUGCGUUGUUGGGUAGGGGAGCGUUCUGUAAGCCUGCGAAGGUGUCCUGUGAGGGAUGCUGGAGGUAUCAGAAGUGCGAAUGCUGACAUAAGUAACGAUAAUGCGGGUGAAAAGCCCGCUCGCCGGAAGACCAAGGGUUCCUGUCCAACGUUAAUCGGGGCAGGGUGAGUCGACCCCUAAGGCGAGGCCGAAAGGCGUAGUCGAUGGGAAACGGGUUAAUAUUCCCGUACUUGGUGUUACUGCGAAGGGGGGACGGAGAAGGCUAUGUUGGCCGGGCGACGGUUGUCCCGGUUUAAGCGUGUAGGCUGGUUUUCCAGGCAAAUCCGGAAAAUCAAG
RNAcentral lists this ribosomal RNA (1020 nucleotides) under Salmonella enterica subsp. enterica serovar Kentucky. Its description in RNAcentral is "partial 23S ribosomal RNA". It matches the Rfam family "Bacterial large subunit ribosomal RNA", at positions 566 to 1554 of the family's 2925-position model. Lineage: Bacteria; Pseudomonadati; Pseudomonadota; Gammaproteobacteria; Enterobacterales; Enterobacteriaceae. The record is from RNAcentral.